UACGAAGGGGGCUAGCGUUGCUCGGAAUCACUGGGCGUAAAGGGUGCGUAGGCGGGUCUUUAAGUCAGGGGUGAAAUCCUGGAGCUCAACUCCAGAACUGCCUUUGAUACUGAGGAUCUUGAGUUCGGGAGAGGUGAGUGGAACUGCGAGUGUAGAGGUGAAAAUUCGUAGAUAUUCGCAAGAACGCCAGUGGCGAAGGCGGCUCACUGGCCCGAUACUGACGCUGAGGCACGAAAGCGUGGGGAGCAAACAGG
Molecule: ribosomal RNA, 254 nt
Filed under: uncultured bacterium
Lineage: Bacteria
Description: partial 16S ribosomal RNA
Rfam family: Bacterial small subunit ribosomal RNA
Source: RNAcentral